Molecule: ribosomal RNA, 253 nt
Filed under: uncultured bacterium
Lineage: Bacteria
Description: partial 16S ribosomal RNA
Rfam family: Bacterial small subunit ribosomal RNA
Source: RNAcentral
UACAGAGGGGGCAAGCGUUGUUCGGAAUUACUGGGCGUAAAGGGCGCGUAGGCGGCCUUCUAAGUCAGACGUGAAAUCCCCGGGCUCAACCCGGGAACUGCGUCUGAUACUGGAAGGCUUGAAUCCGGGAGAGGGAUGUGGAAUUCCAGGUGUAGCGGUGAAAUGCGUAGAUAUCUGGAGGAACACCGGUGGCGAAGGCGGAUCUCUGGGCCUUACCUGACGCUGAGGCGCGAAAGCUAGGGGAGCAAACAGG